UACAGAGGGGGCAAGCGUUAUUCGGAAUUACUGGGCGUAAAGGGCGCGUAGGCGGCUUGGCAAGUGGAUGGUGAAAUCCCUCGGCUUAACCGAGGAACUGCCGUCCAAACUGCUUCGCUUGAGACCGGGAGAGGUGAGUGGAAUUCCCAGUGUAGCGGUGAAAUGCGUAGAUAUUGGGAGGAACACCAGUGGCGAAGGCGGCUCACUGGACCGGUACUGACGCUGAUGCGCGAAAGCGUGGGGAGCAAACGGG
RNAcentral lists this ribosomal RNA (253 nucleotides) under uncultured bacterium. RNAcentral's name for it is "partial 16S ribosomal RNA". It matches the Rfam family "Bacterial small subunit ribosomal RNA", at positions 524 to 776 of the family's 1533-position model. The record is from RNAcentral.